AGUUUUAAAAGAACCAUAUUUAAAAAACAAAACAAAACACAGAGAAGGUCAGCAUGUCCUCUGUGCAAGGAUGACGUGCAAAUUUGUGAAAUGUUAAAAAACAAC
Molecule: small nuclear RNA, 105 nt
Organism: Myotis myotis
Lineage: Eukaryota; Metazoa; Chordata; Mammalia; Chiroptera; Vespertilionidae
Source: RefSeq, a predicted model, not a curated record